CAGAGAAUAGUUUAUAUAAAAUUUAAAUUUUGGAGAUUUAAGAUAGGGGUAUUCCUUUUCUCUGA
RNAcentral lists this transfer RNA (65 nucleotides) under Perotis lugubris. Its description in RNAcentral is "tRNA-Pro". The record is from RNAcentral. Lineage: Eukaryota; Metazoa; Arthropoda; Insecta; Coleoptera; Buprestidae.